Long non-coding RNA from Mauremys reevesii (Reeves's turtle), 664 nucleotides. RefSeq lists it as uncharacterized. The transcript is spliced from 3 exons. The record is from RefSeq and is a predicted model, not a curated record. Lineage: Eukaryota; Metazoa; Chordata; Testudines; Geoemydidae.
AUCUGUUAGGGAGGCCCAGCACUGAUGAUGACAUGAAGGGAUUAGGAGGAGUAAAUCUAGCUGGUCUAAACCAAUUGUUCCAAAGUUAAAAAUCAAAUCCUCCUAUAAUACGCAGAGAGCAGUGGUGGAGGGAAAAGUGAACCCCUGUUCAUUAGAAGGUUAUAUAAACAGUAACUCAUCCAUGGAAGUAAUAUCUUUAUUUAUACCGUUUCCAUUCCAUAUUAUGGAGUGUCCUAGGUUCUGACCAAUAGCUAUUUUUUUAAAGUGAAGUAUCAUUAAACUACAUUUAAACCCCAUUAAAGAACCUAUGGCACUAUAUUUCAGGUUUAUUUAUGGAGUACCAUACUCUGAGAAUAUAUGAGUACUUUCCAAAAAACACAGUAAGGGAUGCAGUGGUAACGCCCCCGAGAGACUUGGGUUAUCACAGAUUUUUCACAAAGUGGAGAAUGUCUAUGUCUAUUGACACAAGGUGCAGCUACAGCAUUCAUUCAGUCCCAGGGCAUGCAUUGGAUGUGAACAUCUCCUGAGUAGCAUAAAGGCCUACAUCUCUGUACCACAUAACGAGGACCGGCACAUAGGAAUUCAAGAGUUCACUGAGAUAUGUGUAACCAAAUUGGCAGAGAGCUUGAGCAAAAGCUUGGAAGCCAAAGCUUGGAAGCCAGGG